AGCCGAGAACAAAACAAGUAUGUCCUGCUUUGAAGAGAAGGGACUCAGAGACUGCACUCAGAGAGCACAGCAAAAUGGAUUGUAUCACUGUCAACCCCUCCAACCACUUUCAGCCUGGCAAGACAAGAUUAGUCCUUUGAAAGAUGCAUCAGAAGGACCGACAAGGCAGAGGACAGACAGUUAAAGAUGGCAGUUGUGUUAUUCCAGGGGGCAGUACUUGUAGGUGAAGAAACAGUGCUGCCUGUGUCCUGGACUACUCUCCAUUCCACCCUACCUGCCCUUUGGGAUUGGAGGUAAGGUGGUGCAGAAUCAAAGACACAGACUCUGGGAGCAGUAUUCAGCCGUUUCCCUUCGUGGUUCUGUCUGUAUGCUACCCAGUGCAUGAUGAUAGCAAGGGAUGGAGUGCUCUCGCUGGUGUCCCAGCAGCCAUUGCCUUCACACCAGUCAGCUGAUUCUCUGCUGUGUUCCCAGGCAGGGCUGUUCACCCUCAGCUGCACAAUACAGCCAACCUGGAGCUCCUAAAAACGUAAGUACACAGGCUUCAUCCCACACCAAUUAAGUCAAACUCUUGGGGGCUUGGAAUCAGUUAUUAGUAUUUUUAAAAGCUAGAGAAGUUCCUCUGUGAAACUAAAAACUUGUGUUUACCAAUACUGGGCAUUUUUGAAGCUUUCUUUCCUUCCUUUUUCCUUUCUUUUUUCCUUCCUUCC
Mus musculus (house mouse) is the source of this 707-nucleotide long non-coding RNA. RefSeq annotates it as predicted gene, 30293. The record is from RefSeq and is a predicted model, not a curated record. Lineage: Eukaryota; Metazoa; Chordata; Mammalia; Rodentia; Muridae. The transcript is spliced from 3 exons.